CGGAGGGUGCAAGCGUUAUCCGGAUUCACUGGGUUUAAAGGGUGCGUAGGUGGGUCUGUAAGUCAGUGGUGAAAUCUCCGAGCUUAACUUGGAAACUGCCAUUGAUACUAUAGAUCUUGAAUAUUGUGGAGGUCAGCGGAAUAUGUCAUGUAGCGGUGAAAUGCUUAGAGAUGACAUAGAACACCAAUUGCGAAGGCAGCUGGCUAAACAUAUAUUGACACUGAGGCACGAAAGCGUGGGGAUCAAACAGGAUUAGAUACCCUGGUAGUCCACGCCCUAAACUAUGGAUACUCGACAUACGCGAUACACUGUGUGUGUCUGAGCGAAAGCAUUAAGUAUCCCACCUGGGAAGUACGAUCGCAAGAUUG
This 368-nucleotide ribosomal RNA is filed under the name uncultured organism. RNAcentral describes it as "bacterial SSU rRNA". It matches the Rfam family "Bacterial small subunit ribosomal RNA", at positions 526 to 896 of the family's 1533-position model. The record is from RNAcentral.